RNAcentral lists this ribosomal RNA (497 nucleotides) under uncultured bacterium. Its description in RNAcentral is "partial 16S ribosomal RNA". It matches the Rfam family "Bacterial small subunit ribosomal RNA", at positions 28 to 507 of the family's 1533-position model. The record is from RNAcentral.
GAUGAACGCUGGCGGCGUGCCUAAUACAUGCAAGUCGAGCGAACAGACGAGGAGCUUGCUCCUCUGACGUUAGCGGCGGACGGGUGAGUAACACGUGGAUAACCUACCUAUAAGACUGGGAUAACUUCGGGAAACCGGAGCUAAUACCGGAUAAUAUAUUGAACCGCAUGGUUCAAUAGUGAAAGACGGUUUUGCUGUCACUUAUAGAUGGAUCCGCGCCGCAUUAGCUAGUUGGUAAGGUAACGGCUUACCAAGGCAACGAUGCGUAGCCGACCUGAGAGGGUGACCGGCCACACCGGAACUGAGACACGGUCCAGACUCCUACGGGAGGCAGCAGUAGGGAAUCUUCCGCAAUGGGCGCAAGCCUGACGGAGCAACGCCGCGUGAGUGAUGAAGGUCUUCGGAUCGUAAACCUCUGUUAUUCGGGAAGAACAAAUGUGUAAGUAACUAUGCACGUCUUGACGGUACCUAAUCAGAAAGCCACGGCUAACUACGUG